Brassica napus (rape) is the source of this 1851-nucleotide long non-coding RNA. RefSeq lists it as uncharacterized. Lineage: Eukaryota; Viridiplantae; Streptophyta; Magnoliopsida; Brassicales; Brassicaceae. The transcript is spliced from 5 exons. The record is from RefSeq and is a predicted model, not a curated record.
UUGUCUCUAAAAUUUUCUUCUCCCCUUUUCCCCUUCGUUUAACUCUCGAAACUUCAUUGCUUCGUUGUUUCCUUGGUUUUGUGGCUACUUUGAUAAUGUUCGGUGGCCCAUGAUGCAUUUUUACAGCCCAGUUUCACUUUUGCUUAGCACCUCAUUGUUAGAAAAAGCAUCUUAGACGACUAAUCUUCUUCUUUAGUUUAGAUAUAGGUUUACUCCAUUAAAGCGCCUCACAACCUCAUACAUUUCCCUUUCUAAUUUUCAUUUUCAGAUUAAAUACAUUAAACUGUUCAUUUUCCUACCAGAGCUUCUCUCAACCAGAGCAGGUUUCAUCCAAUCAUGGAGAAUGUCUUCCUCUGCUGCGACGCUUUCCAACUUAGCCAGACUUCUUAUUUCAUCGUCUCUAGCCUCUUGCGCUUUGGGGAUUCCCAUAACGUCAAUAAAAACGGUGAAUUUAUGGGAAUCAACCUCAUCUUCCUUGAUGAAAAGAAUUUUGUGAUCCACGGCUCAUCCCAGCUGCUCGCGCAAGUCAGUUAUGUGCUGAAUUGAUCGUUAAAUUUGAUCGGUUUGAAGUUGCCCGAUGCACGAUUACGCAUCAUCCUUUUGUUAUCCCCAAAAAACUGUUGAUGAAGUCGUGACAACUCCUCCUACGAAUCAACCUUCAAAAAUUCAUGCUUUGCAAUUUUGACCAUGUCCAAGCUCUUUCAAACACAAAUUUGGAACUCUCCGGUAAAGCAUUCUAAAACAUUUUCUUUUCCAUGUUACUAUUCGACGACUAGACUAAGAGAGAGGCACCAACUCUUGGCAACGAUAGUGCGUUGUUUGUGGUCUUGGACAGGUAGAUAACUAAGCUAACAAAGAAAAACAUACCAACUCUGGCUUUUGAGCAGCUGAAUAUAGCUAAAAUCUAGAGAUGAUUCGGUACAACAAAUGAUCAUAACUUCUGCCAUACGAUUAGAUUUGUGAGUCACCACUCACCAAAGGCAUUACUUGGGACUUGGGAGUGAGAGUGAGUCAUCACUCACCAGCGUUGUAAUAAUCAACGCUAUUAGGCAACCAUUUCACAGCUGUGAGAGUCAGCUAAACACUGCUCAGUUAUAGAACUCAAAUGUUCAAUCGUGACAGCUCAGUAGCUAACUGAACAUUUCUGAUUAUUUUGAUAUUUGUUACUUUCAGCUUUUAUUACUUUCUGUUUAAAUACAUGUCCUCUAAUUACUUUCUAAGACUUCUCGACUUCGGUUGUGCCGUAAGAUCUCAGUUGUGAAGUUGCUAAAGUCGGUUUUAUCUUCUCCUCCUAGAAAGAAGCUAACCUGUUGACAACACAAGCUUUGACCUGGAACAUGUUAAAAAGCGUACAUGCUACUGCUUUAUCUGGGAAUGAAGUUAACUUCUGAAAUGUUUACAACGAGAAUGAUCCUGCUAACAAACAUUUUCUCCACAUAGCUGAAGGUGAAACUAUACGACCUUAAUUGCUUUUACAACGUGUUUGAACUUAAUACCCUUAUACACUUCAGUUAAGGUGCCUUAUAUUUGUCUCAUUUUUUAAUUGAAACUUAAAUGGAUAGCCUAAUUUCUCUGGGUGAGCAGUUCGUAAGGUGAGAUACAUGGGAGAUCUUGUGGAAGUGUAUGGAAUGAGUUUUCGUUAUUUACGGUGGAAUAAUCUCGGUGGAUUGAUUAUGCACUGAUGUUCAAUCAUCUAACAGUAAGUCCCUCCGAGUAAAUGAAGACCAUUGAAUUUUUUUUUUUUUUACUUUUUGUGUUUUAAUUCUUUUUUUUUAAUUGUAUCUUAAUCUUACAAACAUGUUUUAUGAAAGACUAGAUACAAUCCAAUAGCUACGAAAUAUUUAGGUUCUC